CCUACGGGGGGCAUCAGUGAGGAAUAUUGGUCAAUGGGCGCGAGCCUGAACCAGCCAAGUAGCGUGAAGGAUGACUGCCCUACGGAUUGUAAACUUCUUUUAUAAAGGAAUAAAGUGCGCCACGCGUGCCUUUUUGUGUGUACUUUAUGAAUAAGGAUCGGCUAACUCCGUGCCAGCAGCCGCGGUAAUACGGAGGAUCCGAGCGUUAUCCGGAUUUAUUGGGUUUAAAGGGAGCGUAGAUGGGUUGUUAAGUCAGGUGUGAAAGUUUGCGGCUCAACCGUAAAAUUGCAGUUGAUACUGGCAGUCUUGAGUACAGGUGAGGUAGGCGGAAUUCGUGGUGUAGCGGUGAAAUGCUUAGAUAUCACGAAGAACUCCGAUUGCGAAGGCAGCUUACCAAAGUGCCACUGACAUUGAUGCUCGAAAGUGUGGGUAUCAAACAGGAUUAGAUACCCUAGUAGUC
This 460-nucleotide ribosomal RNA is filed under the name uncultured bacterium. RNAcentral describes it as "partial 16S ribosomal RNA". It matches the Rfam family "Bacterial small subunit ribosomal RNA", at positions 338 to 795 of the family's 1533-position model. The record is from RNAcentral.